Molecule: long non-coding RNA, 226 nt
Filed under: Coffea arabica (coffee)
Lineage: Eukaryota; Viridiplantae; Streptophyta; Magnoliopsida; Gentianales; Rubiaceae
Description: long non-coding RNA (CARA_LNC002593)
Source: RNAcentral
ACAACAAAAAUACAGCAGCAAUAACCAAUCAUACAUGAAUUUAACAUGAUAAAGAAAAACCGGAAAAUAGUUCAAUGAAAGUGUUGAUACCUCUUAUGACCGUAGUUAAAAGUUUUGAUGAAAUUCCAACCUCCUCACGUCCGAUUGCUUGCCUUCUUGUGUUUGAUUCCGUGUGUGUAUAAUGGGAAAAGGGAGGGAGCCGAAUGGAGCCUUUCUUUUGUGUCUU